This is a microRNA precursor of Medicago truncatula (barrel medic), 267 nucleotides long. It matches the Rfam family "MIR2655 microRNA precursor family". The record is from Rfam. Lineage: Eukaryota; Viridiplantae; Streptophyta; Magnoliopsida; Fabales; Fabaceae.
CCCAUAAAUAAUCAAAAAUCCGUUUAGGUCCUUUAACUUUAUUUAAAGUAUCAGUUUGGUCCUUUCUGUUAAUUUAGUUCAAAAAUACGUUAAGUUUAGGGAUCAAACUAAUACUAAUUAAAUAAGUUAAGGGAUCAAACCAAUACUAAUUAAAUAAGUUAAGGGACCAAAAUUUAACCUUUUUUUGAAUUAAAUUAAUAGAAAGGAUCAAACUGAUACUUUAAAUAAAGUUAAGGGAUCUAAACAGACUUUUUAUUACUUAUGGGA